RNAcentral lists this ribosomal RNA (484 nucleotides) under uncultured bacterium. RNAcentral's name for it is "partial 16S ribosomal RNA". It matches the Rfam family "Bacterial small subunit ribosomal RNA", at positions 29 to 507 of the family's 1533-position model. The record is from RNAcentral.
AUUGAACGCUGGCGGCAUGCUUUACACAUGCAAGUCGAACGGCAGCGCGGGCUUCGGCCUGGCGGCGAGUGGCGAACGGGUGAGUAAUGCAUCGGAACGUGCCCAGUAGUGGGGGAUAGCCCGGCGAAAGCCGGAUUAAUACCGCAUACGACCUGAGGGUGAAAGCGGGGGACCGAAAGGCCUCGCGCUAUUGGAGCGGCCGAUGUCGGAUUAGCUAGUUGGUGGGGUAAAGGCUUACCAAGGCGACGAUCCGUAGCUGGUCUGAGAGGACGACCAGCCACACUGGGACUGAGACACGGCCCAGACUCCUACGGGAGGCAGCAGUGGGGAAUUUUGGACAAUGGGGGCAACCCUGAUCCAGCCAUGCCGCGUGCGGGAAGAAGACCUUCGGGUUGUAAACCGCUUUUGUUCAGGAAGAAAUCCUCUGGGCUAAUACCCCGGGGGGAUGACGGUACCGGAAGAAUAAGCACCGGCUAACUACGUG